Parelaphostrongylus tenuis is the source of this 71-nucleotide non-coding RNA. The record is from the annotation of a GenBank genome assembly. NCBI's taxonomy places the organism in Eukaryota, Metazoa, Nematoda, Chromadorea, Rhabditida, Metastrongylidae.
GCAUUGGUAGUGCAAUGGUUAGCACGCCCCCCUGGAAAAGUGAAAUGCGGGUUUGAAUCCCGCAUGACGUU